UCAAAAUGCUAUCCAUGCAGUCGACGGCAGCACGGACUUCGGUCUGGUGGCGAGUGGCGAACGGGUGAGUAAUGUAUCGGAACGUGCCUAGUAGCGGGGGAUAACUACGCGAAAGCGUAGCUAAUACCGCAUACGCCCUACGGGGGAAAGCAGGGGAUCGUAAGACCUUGCACUAUUAGAGCGGCCGAUAUCGGAUUAGCUAGUUGGUGGGGUAACGGCUCACCAAGGCGACGAUCCGUAGCUGGUUUGAGAGGACGACCAGCCACACUGGGACUGAGACACGGCCCAGACUCCUACGGGAGGCAGCAGUGGGGAAUUUUGGACAAUGGGGGAAACCCUGAUCCAGCCAUCCCGCGUGUGCGAUGAAGGCCUUCGGGUUGUAAAGCACUUUUGGCAGGAAAGAAACGUUCCGGGUUAAUACCCCGGGAAACUGACGGUACCUGCAGAAUAAGCACCGGCUAACUACGUGCCAGCAGCCGCGGUAAUACGUAGGGUGCAAGCGUUAAUCGGAAUUACUGGGCGUAAAGCGUGCGCAGGCGGUUCGGA
This 546-nucleotide ribosomal RNA is filed under the name Achromobacter piechaudii. Its description in RNAcentral is "bacterial SSU rRNA". It matches the Rfam family "Bacterial small subunit ribosomal RNA", at positions 46 to 584 of the family's 1533-position model. The record is from RNAcentral. Lineage: Bacteria; Pseudomonadati; Pseudomonadota; Betaproteobacteria; Burkholderiales; Alcaligenaceae.